RNAcentral lists this long non-coding RNA (536 nucleotides) under Glycine max (soybean). RNAcentral describes it as "long non-coding RNA (GMAX_LNC003892)". Lineage: Eukaryota; Viridiplantae; Streptophyta; Magnoliopsida; Fabales; Fabaceae. The record is from RNAcentral.
UGAUGAACAGGUAGACGAUGUCGAUUAAUUAAGAAUCAUGCGUAGUCCUAUAUAAAUUAAGAAAAAUAACCAAAUCUCUCUUAUUAUUGAGUGAGCUACAAAAUGCUACAGUAACGUGAGAAAUGACCGGACUAGUAGUACACAAUAGUAUGCAUGCAAACGCAUGCUCAUAUAGCAGAGAAUGAGAAAGGUAGGGAAAUGCAAAUAUAAACGUGAAUCUAAUAAAAUUGAAAUAGGCUUUAAGCAAGAAGUAAGCCUGCAAAGAGUGGUAGAGUGAGGGCCAAGGUGGUGGUUCCAUGAAGGAAGGCGUUGCUCGGGGUUGAUGGCGACGGAGAUAUUGAUGAUGGUGAUGUGGAAGAUGGGCUUUGGGCACUUGCAGGCGGUGAUGAAACUGUGUGUGCGGGUGCAGGGGAGGGGGCUUGACCUGCGGAGAUUGCCACCAGAGCUAAGGACGUGGCUAGCAUGAGCAUGGCACGUGUCAGAGCCAUGCCUCUAGGGUUGAUGAUAAUAACAGAGGAAAGCUAGUUUGAGAGGAA